RNAcentral lists this ribosomal RNA (460 nucleotides) under uncultured bacterium. Its description in RNAcentral is "bacterial SSU rRNA". It matches the Rfam family "Bacterial small subunit ribosomal RNA", at positions 29 to 534 of the family's 1533-position model. The record is from RNAcentral.
AACGAACGCUGGCGGCAUGCCUAACACAUGCAAGUCGAACGAAGGCUUCGGCCUUAGUGGCGCACGGGUGCGUAACGCGUGGGAAUCUGCCCUUGGGUGCGGAAUAACUCGAAGAAAUUCGUGCUAAUACCGCAUAAUGUCGAAAGACCAAAGAUUUAUCGCCCAAGGAUGAGCCCGCGUAGGAUUAGCUUGUUGGUGAGGUAAAAGCUCACCAAGGCGACGAUCCUUAGCUGGUCUGAGAGGAUGAUCAGCCACACUGGGACUGAGACACGGCCCAGACUCCUACGGGAGGCAGCAGUGGGGAAUAUUGGACAAUGGGCGAAAGCCUGAUCCAGCAAUGCCGCGUGAGUGAUGAAGGCCUUAGGGUUGUAAAGCUCUUUUACCCGGGAUGGUAAUGACAGUACCGGGAGAAUAAGCUCCGGCUAACUCCGUGCCAGCAGCCGCGGUAAUGUGACUACUG